UACGGAGGGAGCAAGCGUUACUCGGAAUUAUUGGGCGUAAAGGGCGCGUAGGCGAUUCGAUAAGUCUCGUGUGAAAUCCCAGGGCCUAACCCUGGAAUGGCAUGGGAUACUGUUGAAUUUGAGUUCCGGAGAGGAAGGCAGAAUUCCCGGUGUAGCGGUGAAAUGCGUAGAUAUCGGGAGGAAUACCAGUGGCGAAGGCGGCCUUCUGGACGGAUACUGACGCUGAGGCGCGAAAGCCAGGGGAGCAAACGGG
Molecule: ribosomal RNA, 253 nt
Filed under: uncultured bacterium
Lineage: Bacteria
Description: partial 16S ribosomal RNA
Rfam family: Bacterial small subunit ribosomal RNA
Source: RNAcentral